Molecule: ribosomal RNA, 497 nt
Filed under: uncultured bacterium
Lineage: Bacteria
Description: partial 16S ribosomal RNA
Rfam family: Bacterial small subunit ribosomal RNA
Source: RNAcentral
GAUGAACGCUGGCUGCGUGCCUAAUACAUGCAAGUCGAGCGAACGGACGAGAAGCUUGCUUCUCUGAUGUUAGCGGCGGACGGGUGAGUAACACGUGGAUAACCUACCUAUAAGACUGGGAUAACUUCGGGAAACCGGAGCUAAUACCGGAUAAUAUUUUGAACCGCAUGGUUCAAAAGUGAAAGACGGUCUUUCUGUCACUUAUAGAUUGAUCCGCUCUGCAUUAGCUAGUUGGUAAGGUAACGGCUUACCAAGGCAACGAUGCGUAGCCGACCUGAGAGGGGGAUCGGCCACACUGGAACUGAGACACGGUCCAGACUCCUACGGGAGGCAGCAGUAGGGAAUCUUCCGCAAAGGGCGAAAGCCUGACGGAGCAACGCCGCGUGAGUGAUGAAGGUCUUCGGAUCGUAAAACUCUGUUAUUAGGGAAGAACAUAUGUGUAAGUAACUGUGCACAUCGUGACGGUACCUAAUCAGAAAGCCACGGCUAACUACGUG